UACGUAGGGGGCAAGCGUUGUCCGGAUUUAUUGGGCGUAAAGAGCGUGUAGGCGGCUUUGCAAGUCCGUUGUGAAAACUCGAGGCUCAACCUCGAGACGCCGGUGGAAACUGCAAAGCUAGAGUCCGGAAGAGGAGAGUGGAAUUCCUGGUGUAGCGGUGAAAUGCGCAGAUAUCAGGAAGAACACUCGUGGCGAAGGCGGCUCUCUGGGACGGUACUGACGCUGAGACGCGAAAGCGUGGGGAGCGAACAGG
This 253-nucleotide ribosomal RNA is filed under the name uncultured bacterium. RNAcentral's name for it is "partial 16S ribosomal RNA". It matches the Rfam family "Bacterial small subunit ribosomal RNA", at positions 524 to 776 of the family's 1533-position model. The record is from RNAcentral.